CUGUGGAGCGUGUUCAACAAGUUUAUUUUAUUUGAUCAUCACAUAAUGUUGUCAUCUACCUCGCGCAGUUUGGAAUUACUUAGAUGAAAAUGAUCUUACAAAAUGGAAUUACUUUUGAUCAAAUUAAUUAAUGAAACUGAGUUAUCAUAAUAUCAACACCAUUAUGAGAAAGCACAUGAAAUCUAAAUACCCGUCGAGUGAGGAAAGACAGCUGUCCAUCACUGCAUUCACGACGUCAGCACACCACCGCUGUUUCCCACUGUCAUGGCUCUAACAGCAUCGGCUCUGGCUUCUCUUUCUGCACAGCUGUCACUCAGAGAUUGAAGGAUACCAGCCACACACACCCACAGUGUAGUGCAGAGCUGUACAUCACCAGCUCCUGAAACCAUGUUUCUGCUCCAGAACCAAACCAGCAGUGACUGCAGGCAGCAGAGCGACCGCUAUAUAUCCUGGAAGACACUGAUAUGUGGAGAUACAGCAGGUUGAUUUUAUUGUGACCUUUACCUGAAAUUGCCAUCCGUUAUAUUUCUGAGGUUUGAAAAUGCAACUGUUUCAGUGAUGAGAGAAUGCAGGCGCAAUGCAUUCGUUACAGAAAAAGGAAGAGGAAGCGAGAUGGCCAAAACAGGAAUAGGACAGACAGCAGACUCUUUCAUUCUUGUCUGUCUGUCAAUCACACAUGUUCUUUGCUGUCUCUGUGAUCUGUUAUGGGACAAAACUCCUGCACAGCUAAUUUCCUGUGAUACACCAAACACCAAUGGAUGUGUCUCAGACGGCUUCAUGGUCUCAUCUGGCCUUCAAUAUCAGUGAUAUCGCAGCACACACAUAAAGAGAGAGAGAGAGACGGGGGAGGGUAAGACAAGGAUCUGUAGAACAGAUGGUGCCAAAUAAAAACUUACGCUUUUAUUUUGAUUUUCACUUUGAAUAAAAGAAAUAGGAAAUGUUGUGGUCUCGAUGCAACACAUAUUUCUUUCUCUCUCUCUCUCUCUUUUUUUUUCCCUGCCUAUUUGUCAUUUUAUCUACAAAGCUUUAUUUGCAUGACAUUUACAAUACUGUCAAAGCAUAUCAAGUAGGCUACUUGAAGUACAGAAAUACACUGUGUAGAAAAAUUAGAAAA
Megalobrama amblycephala (Wuchang bream) is the source of this 1114-nucleotide long non-coding RNA. RefSeq lists it as uncharacterized. The record is from RefSeq and is a predicted model, not a curated record. The transcript has 3 exons. NCBI's taxonomy places the organism in Eukaryota, Metazoa, Chordata, Actinopteri, Cypriniformes, Xenocyprididae.